UCCGUAGGUGAACCUGCGGAGGGAUCAUUACACAACAAAAUAUGAAGGCCUGGCUUCGCGGCCGGCUGAAAUAUUUUUUCACCCAUGUCUUUUGCGCACUUGUUGUUUCCUGGGCGGGUUCGCCCGCCACCAGGACCAAACCAUAAACCUUUUUUUAUGCAGUUGCAAUCAGCGUCAGUAAAAACAAUGUAAUUAUUACAACUUUCAACAACGGAUCUCUUGGUUCUGGCAUCGAUGAAGAACGCAGCGAAAUGCGAUACGUAGUGUGAAUUGCAGAAUUCAGUGAAUCAUCGAAUCUUUGAACGCACAUUGCGCCCUUUGGUAUUCCAAAGGGCAUGCCUGUUCGAGCGUCAUUUGUACCUUCAAGCUUUGCUUGGUGUUGGGCGUUUUUGUCUCCCUCUUUCUGGGAGACUCGCCUUAAAACGAUUGGCAGCCGGCCUACUGGUUUCGGAGCGCAGCACAUAUUUUGCGCUUUGUAUCAGGAGAAAAGGACGGUAAUCCAUCAAGACUCUACAUUUUUAACUUUUGACCUCGGAUCAGGUAGGGAUACCCGCUGAACUUAAGCAUAUCAAUAAGCGGAGGA
This 583-nucleotide ribosomal RNA is filed under the name Bipolaris sp. HLS301. Its description in RNAcentral is "eukaryotic LSU rRNA". The stretch from base 200 to 353 matches the Rfam family "5.8S ribosomal RNA". Lineage: Eukaryota; Fungi; Ascomycota; Dothideomycetes; Pleosporales; Pleosporaceae. The record is from RNAcentral.